RNAcentral lists this ribosomal RNA (253 nucleotides) under uncultured bacterium. Its description in RNAcentral is "partial 16S ribosomal RNA". It matches the Rfam family "Bacterial small subunit ribosomal RNA", at positions 524 to 776 of the family's 1533-position model. The record is from RNAcentral.
UACGUAGGGUGCAAGCGUUGUCCGGAAUUCUUGUGCGUCAAGAGCUCGUAGGCGGUCUGUCGCGUCUGCUGUGAAAAUCCAGGGCUCAACCCUGGACCUGCAGUGGGUACGGGCAGACUAGAGUGCGGUAGGGGAGAUCGGAAUUCCUGGUGUAGCGGUGAAAUGCGCAGAUAUCAGGAGGAACACCGGUGGCGAAGGCGGAUCUCUGGGCCGUAACUGACGCUGAGGAGCGAAAGCAUGGGGAGCGAACAGG